GUUUCCUCCGUAGCUUCCAACGUCACCUCCUCCUUAGCCACCUCCCUCACGGCCACCACUACCGUAUCCUUUUCCACCACAACCUCUGCUAUGUCUCUCGUAAUCACCACCGCCUCCUCCAUUUCCGCCACCACCUCCUCCGUAUUCAUUACCGCCUCCGCUGCGGUAUCUGCCACCACCUCCACCACGGGUUCCUCCACCGCCUUGAGCAAAUGGGUGGCUGUGUUUGCAGAGACCUCCAUCUCCAAGACCUUAUGGACAUGGCACUUUGGUUUCUUUCCAAACCACGAGACCUCCAUCUCCAAGACCUUAUGGACAUGGCACUUUGGUUUCUUUCCAAACCACGGUUAAUCGAAUCUCCUGUUAUUAUGAACAUGGUAUAUAGAAUGGAUAUGAAUCAAUAAAAGGUUUCUGAAUGGAUAUAUAUAAAUAGACUCGUUAUUAUGGACAUCAAAAAAUUGUUUGUUGAUUUUUCUUUCAGUUUGUAGAGACCUCCACUUCCAAGACCUUAUGGACAUGGAACUUUGGUUUCUUUACAAACCACGAUUAAUCGAAUCUCUUGUUAUUAUGGACAUGGUAUAUAGAAUGGAUAUAGAUUGGUAAAAAGGUUUCCGAAUGGAUAUAUUU
This 627-nucleotide long non-coding RNA is filed under the name Arabidopsis thaliana (thale cress). RNAcentral describes it as "potential natural antisense gene, locus overlaps with AT2G10920 (AT2G10921)". Lineage: Eukaryota; Viridiplantae; Streptophyta; Magnoliopsida; Brassicales; Brassicaceae. The record is from RNAcentral.